AAGUCGUAACAAGGUUUCCGUAGGUGAACCUGCGGAAGGAUCAUUACCACAUCCAAAAAACCCAAAACCCACCCGUGUGCACUGUGUAUUUUCAUUAUCCCCUUCUUCUUCUUCUCCUUUGUCGUCUCUUGGGGUUUGCCGCCGCUGGCGUGCGCGUCAAGAAAGAGGCAAGAAAGAAAGGAAAAAGGGGAUAUUGAGUUACAAUAAACCUUUUUAUUUUAACAAGAAAUAUACCCAACAAAAACCAAAAAACAUACGAAACAAUGAGAGACAACUUUUAACGAUGGAUCUCUUGGCUCGU
Molecule: unclassified non-coding RNA, 301 nt
Filed under: fungal sp.
Lineage: Eukaryota; Fungi
Description: partial internal transcribed spacer region
Rfam family: Eukaryotic small subunit ribosomal RNA (bases 1-46)
Source: RNAcentral